RNAcentral lists this long non-coding RNA (233 nucleotides) under Lathyrus oleraceus (garden pea). RNAcentral describes it as "Pisum sativum (pea) long non-coding RNA (PSAT_LNC019118)". Lineage: Eukaryota; Viridiplantae; Streptophyta; Magnoliopsida; Fabales; Fabaceae. The record is from RNAcentral.
AAAUAUUAGUAUUAAAUAAAUACGAAAAUAAGAAUUAAAUAAAAUUAAAUAAGACACCAAGAAUGUGGAAAAUAUUUUUUGGUAUUUUAAUGAAUAAAGAAAAUAUUUUUAAGAAUUAAAAAACAAAACAGAAAAAUAAAUGUGAAUUAAGAAAAGAAAAUAAAAAUGUGAAUGGAUCAUGGUGAUGGGUCAGGCGUGUGGGGUGUGUGUAACACCUCAAAAUUUGCCCUCCU